This 1026-nucleotide ribosomal RNA is filed under the name uncultured bacterium. Its description in RNAcentral is "bacterial SSU rRNA". It matches the Rfam family "Bacterial small subunit ribosomal RNA", at positions 56 to 1069 of the family's 1533-position model. The record is from RNAcentral.
UGCAGUCGACGGGAUCAUUGAGGUAGCAAUAUCGCGAUGGUCUAGUGGCGAACGGGUGCGUAACACGUGGAUACAUUCCGGGAAGCGGGGGAUAGCCCAGGGAAACUUGGAUUAAUACCGCAUGUGGUCGAGAGACUAAAGGCAGGGACCGCAAGGCCUGCCACUUCCCGAUUGGUCCGCGGCCUAUCAGCUAGUUGGCGGGGUAACAGCCCACCAAGGCUACGACGGGUAGCUGGUCUUAGAGGACGACCAGCCACACUGGAACUGAGACACGGUCCAGACACCUACGGGUGGCAGCAGUCGAGAAUCUUUCACAAUGGGGGCAACCCUGAUGGAGCGACGCCGCGUGGAGGAUAAGGUCUCCGGAUUGUAAACUCCUGUCAUGUGUGAACAAGGCUGUCGUGUUAAUAGCAUGGCAGAUUGAUGGUAACACAAGAGGAAGAGACGGCUAACUCUGUGCCAGCAGCCGCGGUAAUACAGAGGUCUCAAGCGUUGUUCGGAAUCACUGGGCGUAAAGGGUGCGUAGGUGGCGUGGUAAGUCAGAUGUGAAAGCCCGGGGCUCAACCUCGAAAUUGCAUCCGAUACUGCCAUGCUAGAGUACUGAAGAGGUGACUAGAAUUCUCGGUGUAGCAGUGAAAUGCGUAGAUAUCGAGAGGAAUACCAACGGCGAAGGCAGGUCACUGGGCAGUUACUGACACUGAGGCACGAAGGCCAGGGGAGCAAACGGGAUUAGAUACCCCGGUAGUCCUGGCAGUAAACGGUGCACGUUUGGUGUGGGCGCAAUCGACCGCGUCCGCGCCGGAGCUAACGCGUUAAACGUGUCGCCUGGGAAGUACGGUCGCAAGAUUAAAACUCAAAGAAAUUGACGGGGACCCGCACAAGCGGUUGGAGUAUGUGGCUUAAUUCGAUGCAACGCGAAGAACCUUACCUGGUCUUGACAUGCAUUGUGUCUCCGGUGAAAGCCGGAUAGGGUAGCAAUACCCGCUUUGCGCAGGUGCUGCAUGGCUGUCGUCAGCUCGUGUCGUG